Molecule: ribosomal RNA, 256 nt
Filed under: uncultured bacterium
Lineage: Bacteria
Description: partial 16S ribosomal RNA
Rfam family: Bacterial small subunit ribosomal RNA
Source: RNAcentral
UACGUAGGCAGCGAGCGUUGUUCGGAAUUACUGGGCGUAAAGAGUGUGUAGGCGGCUUUUUAAGUCCGCCGUCAAAUCCCAGGGCUCAACCCUGGACAGGCGGUGGAAACUACCAAGCUGGAGUACGGUAGGGGCAGGGGGGAAUUUCCGGUGGAGCGGUGAAAUGCGUAGAAGAUCGGAAAGAACACCAACGGCGAAAAGCAACUCUGCUGGGCCGACACUGACACUGAGAGACGAAAGCUAGGGGAGCAAUGGG